UGUUUGAAUAAAAAAGAAAAAGUUUCCCAAUACGCCAAGAGGUUAGUUUGAAUCUUCGAUACUUGCUUCGACUUUUGAUUCGACUUUUAAUUCGAUUAUCGAUAUGACUUGUAAUUCGACUUUUGACAAAUUUAAAAAAGAAAAUGGAGAUCGUAAGAAAGCACGUAUACGCGACAUUAAUAUGGAAUAGAAAAAAAACAAAAAGAAAAGAAAAAACAUGAUUGUAUUGUUGGAGCUAAAGGAAGAAAAGGAUAAAAAGAGAGGACACUUGAUUUGUUACGACACAGUCGUCGUGACAGCUUUCAGUUUAUCUAGGAAAGUAACUGUUCAUAGUCUAUACAAGAAAAAUGACUUACUUGAAUUCUAUGAUCCACUUGAGUUUAUCUAAAUCUUCUUGCGUACAAAAAUGCAUAUAAUCACCACCAGCAUGCCAAGGAUAGAAUGAAUGAUAACGAAUCAUAGCAAGUGCUUCCUUAG
This 477-nucleotide long non-coding RNA is filed under the name Polistes fuscatus (common paper wasp). RNAcentral describes it as "uncharacterized LOC122515948". Lineage: Eukaryota; Metazoa; Arthropoda; Insecta; Hymenoptera; Vespidae. The record is from RNAcentral.